RNAcentral lists this ribosomal RNA (253 nucleotides) under uncultured bacterium. RNAcentral's name for it is "partial 16S ribosomal RNA". It matches the Rfam family "Bacterial small subunit ribosomal RNA", at positions 524 to 776 of the family's 1533-position model. The record is from RNAcentral.
AACGUAGGUGGCAAGCGUUAUCCGGAUUUACUGGGCGUAAAGCAUGUGCAGACGGGUUGGUAAGUGGUGUAUGAAAGCGUUCGGCUUAACCGAGCGAGCGUAUGCCAGACUGCCAGUCUUGAGAGUGGGAGAGGGAUGUGGAAUUCCGGGUGUAGUGGUGAAAUGCGUAGAGAUCCGGAGGAACCCCAGAGGCGAAGGCGGCGUCCUGGCCCAUUUCUGACGUUCAGACAUGACAGCAUGGGGAGCGAACGGG